Molecule: ribosomal RNA, 813 nt
Filed under: uncultured bacterium
Lineage: Bacteria
Description: bacterial SSU rRNA
Rfam family: Bacterial small subunit ribosomal RNA
Source: RNAcentral
CAGUCGAGGGGCAGCGGGGAGGUAGCAAUACUUCCGCCGGCGACCGGCGCACGGGUGAGUAACACGUAUGGAACCUGCCCGUAGCAGGGGGAUAAGCGGAAGAAAUUCCGUCUAAUACCGCGUAAUAACUCCGAGAGGCAUCUCUUGGGGUUUAAAGGGUAACAUCGGCUACGGAUGGCCAUGCGGCGCAUUAGCUAGUUGGCGGGGUAACGGCCCACCAAGGCGACGAUGCGUGGGGGUUCUGAGAGGAAGGUCCCCCACACUGGUACUGAGACACGGGCCAGACUCCUACGGGAGGCAGCAGUGAGGAAUAUUGGUCAAUGGGCGCGAGCCUGAACCAGCCAAGUCGCGUGAGGGAAGACGGUCCUAUGGAUUGUAAACCUCUUUUGUCGGGGAGCAAAAGACGUCACGUGUGGCGUUCCGAGAGUACCCGAAGAAAAAGCAUCGGCUAACUCCGUACCAGCAGCCGCGGUAAUACGGAGGAUGCGAGCGUUAUCCGGAUUUAUUGGGUUUAAAGGGUGCGCAGGCGGAAGAUCAAGUCAGCGGUAAAAUUGAGAGGCUCAACCUCUUCGAGCCGUUGAAACUGGUUUUCUUGAGUGAGCGAGAAGUAUGCGGAAUGCGUGGUGUAGCGGUGAAAUGCAUAGAUAUCACGCAGAACUCCGAUUGCGAAGGCAGCAUGCCGGCGCUCAACUGACGCUCAUGCACGAAAGUGUGGGUAUCGAACAGGAUUAGAUACCCUGGUAGUCCACACAGUAAACGAUGAAUACUAAUUGUUCGGGGAGAAUGAUCCCUGAGUGAUACAGCGAAAGCGUU